RNAcentral lists this unclassified non-coding RNA (217 nucleotides) under plant metagenome. Its description in RNAcentral is "partial contains small subunit ribosomal RNA, internal transcribed spacer 1, and 5.8S ribosomal RNA". The record is from RNAcentral.
UCUCCGUAGGUGAACCUGCGGAGGGAUCAUUACAAGUGACCCCGGUCUUACCACCGGGAUGUUCAUAACCCUUUGUUGUCCGACUCUGUUGCCUCCGGGGCGACCCUGCCUUCGGGCGGGGGCUCCGGGUGGACACUUCAAACUCUUGCGUAACCUUGCAGUCUGAGUAAACUUAAUUAAUAAAUUAAAACUUUUAACAACGGAUCUCUUGGUUCUG